RNAcentral lists this ribosomal RNA (490 nucleotides) under uncultured bacterium. Its description in RNAcentral is "partial 16S ribosomal RNA". It matches the Rfam family "Bacterial small subunit ribosomal RNA", at positions 29 to 507 of the family's 1533-position model. The record is from RNAcentral.
AGUGAACGCUGGCGGCAGGCCUAACACAUGCGAGUCGAACGGCAGCACAAGAGAGCUUGCUCUCUGGGUGGCGAGUGGCGGACGGGUGAGGAAUGCAUCGGAAUCUGCCCAUUUGUGGGGGAUAACCUCGGGAAACCGGGACUAAUACCGCAUACGACCUACGGGUGAAAGCAGGGGAUCUUCGGACCUUGCGCAGAUGGAUGAGCCGAUGCCGGAUUAGCUAGUUGGAGGGGUAAAGGCCCACCAAGGCGACGAUCCGUAGCUGGUCUGAGAGGAUGAUCAGCCACACUGGGACUGAGACACGGCCCAGACUCCUACGGGAGGCAGCAGUGGGGAAUAUUGGACAAUGGGCGCAAGCCUGAUCCAGCCAUGCCGCGUGUGUGAAGAAGGCCUUCGGGUUGUAAAGCACUUUUGUUGGGAAAGAAAAGCAGCCGGUUAAUACCCGGUUGUCAUGACGGUACCCAAAGAAUAAGCACCGGCUAACUUCGUG